RNAcentral lists this ribosomal RNA (496 nucleotides) under uncultured bacterium. RNAcentral's name for it is "partial 16S ribosomal RNA". It matches the Rfam family "Bacterial small subunit ribosomal RNA", at positions 28 to 506 of the family's 1533-position model. The record is from RNAcentral.
GAUGAACGCUGGCGGCGUGCCUAAUACAUGCAAGUCGAGCGAACGGACGAGAAGCUUGCUUCUCUGAUGUUAGCGGCGGACGGGUGAGUAACACGUGGAUAACCUACCUAUAAGACUGGGAUAACUUCGGGAAACCGGAGCUAAUACCGGAUAAUAUUUUGAACCGCAUGGUUCAAAAGUGAAAGACGGUCUUGCUGUCACUUAUAGAUGGCUCCGGGCUGCAUUAGCUAGUUGGUAAGGUAACGGCUUACCAAGGCAACGAUGCAUAGCCGACCUGAGAGGGUGAUCGCCCAAACGGAAACUGACAACAGACCCAACCCCCACCGGGAGGCCAACGGAGGGAAUCUGCCGAAAUGGGCGAACGCCAGACGGACAAACGCCCCGGGAGUGAGAAAGUCCUCCGGAUCGAAAACCCUUUUUUUUAGGGAAAAACAAAUGGUUAAGUAACGGUGCCCAUCUGGAGGGAACCAAAUCAGAAAGCCCCGGCCAACCACGG